This 291-nucleotide ribosomal RNA is filed under the name uncultured Peptoniphilus sp. RNAcentral describes it as "partial 16S ribosomal RNA". It matches the Rfam family "Bacterial small subunit ribosomal RNA", at positions 71 to 354 of the family's 1533-position model. The record is from RNAcentral. Lineage: Bacteria; Bacillati; Bacillota; Tissierellia; Tissierellales; Peptoniphilaceae.
AACCCUUCGGGCGAAGAUAAGACGGAUUAGCGGCGGACGGGUGAGUAACACGUGAGUAACCUGCCUUUUACACAGGGAUAGCCUCGGAAACCGGGAUUAAAACCUGAUGAAACUAUCAAAUCACAUGAUUAAGAAAGUUAAAACUCCGGUGGUAAAAGAUGGACUCGCGUCCCAUUAGCUAGUUGGUGAAGGUAACGGCCCACCAAGGCAACGAUGGGUAGCCGGCCUGAGAGGGUGAACGGCCACAUUGGAACUGAGAAACGGUCCAAACUCCUACGGGAGGCAGCAGGC